This 75-nucleotide transfer RNA is filed under the name Staphylococcus pseudintermedius. RNAcentral's name for it is "tRNA-Asn". Lineage: Bacteria; Bacillati; Bacillota; Bacilli; Caryophanales; Staphylococcaceae. The record is from RNAcentral.
UGUAUAAGGGACAGGUGGUAGAGCUAUCGGCUGUUAACCGAUCGGUCGUAGGUUCGAGUCCUACCUGUGGAGCCA